This 67-nucleotide transfer RNA is filed under the name Anomalurus pusillus. RNAcentral describes it as "tRNA-Trp". Lineage: Eukaryota; Metazoa; Chordata; Mammalia; Rodentia; Anomaluridae. The record is from RNAcentral.
AGAAAUUUAGGUUAUCUUAGACCAAGAGCCUUCAAAGCCCUAAGAAAGUCACAAGACUUAAUUUCUG